This 406-nucleotide ribosomal RNA is filed under the name uncultured bacterium. RNAcentral describes it as "partial 16S ribosomal RNA". It matches the Rfam family "Bacterial small subunit ribosomal RNA", at positions 29 to 526 of the family's 1533-position model. The record is from RNAcentral.
AUUGAACGCUGGCGGCAGGCCUAACACAUGCAAGUCGAGCGAGAGGCGGACGGGUGAGUAAUGUCUGGGAAACUGCCUGAUGGAGGGGGAUAACUACUGGAAACGGUAGCUAAUACCGCAUACCAUCAGAAGUGCCCAGAUGGGAUUAGCUAGUAGGUGGGGGAACGUCUCACCGAGGCUACGAUCCCUAGCUGGUCUGAGAGGAUGACCAGCAACACGGGACCUAGGACACGGUCCAGACUCCUCCGGGAGGCAGCAGUGGGGAUUAUUGCACAAUGGGCGCAAGCCUGAUGCAGCCAUGCCGCUGGUGUGAGGAAGGCCGUCGGGUUGUAAAGCACUUUCAGCGGGGAGGCGUUACCCGCAGAAGAAGCACCGGCUAACUCCGUGCCAGCAGCCGCGGUAAUAC